ACAAACGUAGCACUAACCAAUGGAAAUAUUUUUAUUUCAUUUCUGGUUAUAUGAGGGGCCAGCUUCACACCUAUUCAAUAUUUUUUUCCUAAUAAAUUAAAAACGAAAACAGCACAAACACUAAAUUUUGCUGCACAAACCUGCACAAACGUAGCACUAACCAAUGAGAACACUUUGGUGCAAUUUAGCCACAAAUAAGGGGCUGUGUUACAUAACAGGUCAGAAAUUAAAUGUUUAAUAUCUCAAUAAGGUUAACAGUAAAUAUAAUGUUUAAUAUUUCAAUGACGAUAACAGCACAAACGUUAAUUUUUGCUGCACAAACCAGCACAAACACAGCACUAACCAAUGAGACCACUUUGG
Molecule: long non-coding RNA, 360 nt
Organism: Astyanax mexicanus (Mexican tetra)
Lineage: Eukaryota; Metazoa; Chordata; Actinopteri; Characiformes; Acestrorhamphidae
Exons: 2
Source: RefSeq, a predicted model, not a curated record